CUGUGAGCUCGAUGAGUAGGGCGGGACACGUGGUAUCCUGUCUGAAUAUGGGGGGACCAUCCUCCAAGGCUAAAUACUCCUGACUGACCGAUAGUGAACCAGUACCGUGAGGGAAAGGCGAAAAGAACCCCGGCGAGGGGAGUGAAAAAGAACCUGAAACCGUGUACGUACAAGCAGUGGGAGCACGCUUAGGCGUGUGACUGCGUACCUUUUGUAUAAUGGGUCAGCGACUUAUAUUCUGUAGCAAGGUUAACCGAAUAGGGGAGCCGAAGGGAAACCGAGUCUUAACUGGGCGUUAAGUUGCAGGGUAUAGACCCGAAACCCGGUGAUCUAGCCAUGGGCAGGUUGAAGGUUGGGUAACACUAACUGGAGGACCGAACCGACUAAUGUUGAAAAAUUAGCGGAUGACUUGUGGCUGGGGGUGAAAGGCCAAUCAAACCGGGAGAUAGCUGGUUCUCCCCGAAAGCUAUUUAGGUAGCGCCUCGUGAAUUCAUCUCCGGGGGUAGAGCACUGUUUCGGCAAGGGGGUCAUCCCGACUUACCAACCCGAUGCAAACUGCGAAUACCGGAGAAUGUUAUCACGGGAGACACACGGCGGGUGCUAACGUCCGUCGUGAAGAGGGAAACAACCCAGACCGCCAGCUAAGGUCCCAAAGUCAUGGUUAAGUGGGAAACGAUGUGGGAAGGCCCAGACAGCCAGGAUGUUGGCUUAGAAGCAGCCAUCAUUUAAAGAAAGCGUAAUAGCUCACUGGUCGAGUCGGCCUGCGCGGAAGAUGUAACGGGGCUAAACCAUGCACCGAAGCUGCGGCAGCGACGCUGAUGCGUUGUUGGGUAGGGGAGCGUUCUGUAAGCCUGCGAAGGUGUGCUGUGAGGCAUGCUGGAGGUAUCAGAAGUGCGAAUGCUGACAUAAGUAACGAUAAAGCGGGUGAAAAGCCCGCUCGCCGGAAGACCAAGGGUUCCUGUCCAACGUUAAUCGGGGCAGGGUGAGUCGACCCCUAAGGCGAGGCCGAAAGGCGUAGUCGAUGGGAAACAGGUUAAUAUUCCUGUACUUGGUGUUACUGCGAAGGGGGGACGGAGAAGGCUAUGUUGGCCGGGCGACGGUUGUCCCGGUUUAAGCGUGUAGGCUGGUUUUCCAGGCAAAUCCGGAAAAUCAAGGCUGAGGCGUGAUGACGAGGCACUACGGUGCUGAAGCAACAAAUGCCCUGCUUCCAGGAAAAGCCUCUAAGCAUCAGGUAACAUCAAAUCGUACCCCAAACCGACACAGGUGGUCAGGUAGAGAAUACCAAGGCGCUUGAGAGAACUCGGGUGAAGGAACUAGGCAAAAUGGUGCCGUAACUUCGGGAGAAGGCACGCUGAUAUGUAGGUGAAGUGAUUUACUCAUGGAGCUGAAAUCAGUCGAAGAUACCAGCUGGCUGCAACUGUUUAUUAAAAACACAGCACUGUGCAAACACGAAAGUGGACGUAUACGGUGUGACGCCUGCCCGGUGCCGGAAGGUUAAUUGAUGGGGUUAGCGCAAGCGAAGCUCUUGAUCGAAGCCCCGGUAAACGGCGGCCGUAACUAUAACGGUCCUAAGGUAGCGAAAUUCCUUGUCGGGUAAGUUCCGACCUGCACGAAUGGCGUAAUGAUGGCCAGGCUGUCUCCACCCGAGACUCAGUGAAAUUGAACUCGCUGUGAAGAUGCAGUGUACCCGCGGCAAGACGGAAAGACCCCGUGAACCUUUACUAUAGCUUGACACUGAACAUUGAGCCUUGAUGUGUAGGAUAGGUGGGAGGCUUUGAAGUGUGGACGCCAGUCUGCAUGGAGCCGACCUUGAAAUACCACCCUUUAAUGUUUGAUGUUCUAACGUUGACCCGUAAUCCGGGUUGCGGACAGUGUCUGGUGGGUAGUUUGACUGGGGCGGUCUCCUCCUAAAGAGUAACGGAGGAGCACGAAGGUUGGCUAAUCCUGGUCGGACAUCAGGAGGUUAGUGCAAUGGCAUAAGCCAGCUUGACUGCGAGCGUGACGGCGCGAGCAGGUGCGAAAGCAGGUCAUAGUGAUCCGGUGGUUCUGAAUGGAAGGGCCAUCGCUCAACGGAUAAAAGGUACUCCGGGGAUAACAGGCUGAUACCGCCCAAGAGUUCAUAUCGACGGCGGUGUUUGGCACCUCGAUGUCGGCUCAUCACAUCCUGGGGCUGAAGUAGGUCCCAAGGGUAUGGCUGUUCGCCAUUUAAAGUGGUACGCGAGCUGGGUUUAGAACGUCGUGAGACAGUUCGGUCCCUAUCUGCCGUGGGCGCUGGAGAACUGAGGGGGGCUGCUCCUAGUACGAGAGGACCGGAGUGGACGCAUCACUGGUGUUCGGGUUGUCAUGCCAAUGGCACUGCCCGGUAGCUAAAUGCGGAAGAGAUAAGUGCUGAAAGCAUCUAAGCACGAAACUUGCCCCGAGAUGAGUUCUCCCUGAC
RNAcentral lists this ribosomal RNA (2437 nucleotides) under Escherichia coli. Its description in RNAcentral is "partial 23S ribosomal RNA". It matches the Rfam family "Bacterial large subunit ribosomal RNA", at positions 397 to 2819 of the family's 2925-position model. Lineage: Bacteria; Pseudomonadati; Pseudomonadota; Gammaproteobacteria; Enterobacterales; Enterobacteriaceae. The record is from RNAcentral.